UCUUUUCUCUUCUUUUUCUAACAUACAUAACUUUCUUUCUUUGUUUUUGGUAUGAUAUUUGUUUGACAACAAUGGAUGUUUCCGACAGUGAUAGCUUGACCAGUAUGUAAGACAAGUGGAGUUAUUGUUCUUUUGAGUGAAUAUGAGAGGGUGGAUUUGAAAGGAUUUGAAGAUAAAUUUUUUUGUCGUUUAUUUGAGUGAAUUUGGAGGUAAAUGAGAGUGAACUUGGAAAUAAAAUUUGUGAGAAUUAGUAUAGAAUUGUAUCGACGUGACAAAUUAAAAAAAUUUAUUUCCAAAUUCACUCUCAUUUACCUCCAAAUUCAUUCAAAUAAACGACAAAAAAAUUUAUCUUCAAAUCCUUUCAAAUCCCCUCAAAUCCACUCACUCUAAUCCACUCAAAAGAACAAGGACUAUAGAUGGACCACGUUAUUCUAACAACAAAUUUUGCACACUUUUUUUACAACGCCACGUGUCGAAUGUUUAUAGGUUUAAUUUAAUUUUUUUUUUCUUAAAAACCGUCUUAAUGGAAGUACGUAAGUUUUGUUUUAAGUGAGAAUCUCAAAAUACCCCUGUCUGUUUCGUUGGAAAUGAAGGUCUCGUUUCCCUGCCUCUUCAUUUUGCUUUCUUUGUGAUGGUUCUUUGUGCGUCGUGUUGUCUCCCUCCAUUUUCGUAAAGGUGUUGUUUUUCGUAGAUGUUAUAGUGCGCAAUGGGAAGUUCCGGUGAGCAUUGUCCGACGACGAAGGUAAGUGGUUUGUCGUUCCAUUUCGUUCCAUGGUUUUUUGGUUUGGGUUUAGGUUUGGGGUUCGUAUCGCUUUGUUUUGGUUAUUGGGUUUAGUAGUUGUGCUUAUUUUAUUUUGGUUGAUGCAGUUGACCGUUCGUCACUCUUUUUCGAUAAAGUAUAUAUGUACUUUGAACGAACGCUUGACAGACGAGCAUCGGUCAUUGAUUGCGAAGACUCCAUUUGCGUGGUUUUUAGAUUUGAAUGUAAAUGUUAAACUAGGUAAAAAUAUAUUGAGUGAGUUAUUGGGUAAGUGGGACGACUCGAGUAGUGGUUUUUUUGUUGGAAAUAAAGUUUUGAAUAUAAAUGAAAAUGAUUUUUAUUUAGGGUUGGGAUUGAGUACAGAUGGUGAAAAUAUUAACUUAAAGGAGGAAAUGGGAAAUAUUCUAUGUGUGAAAUACAUAGGUAAAGGAACAAAGGAUUUGAAUUCGAUAUACAAAAUUCUAAUGCGAAAACACAAGAAAAAGAUCCCUUGUUCUCAUUUUUGUAGCCUUUACCUAUUGGUAGGGAUAUGUGAGAUUUUAUUUCCAAAACGUAGCGGAAAAAUGUUUGCCGUAAUGUUUAAUAUUGUUGACAACUUAAGUGGUUUGGGUAGUUAUUGUUGGGGUAGUCUAGUUUAUCUUUUUUGUUACGUAGUUUGUGCAAAGCUUCAGAAGGCUUGAAGAAAGGCAAAGGUACAACAAACGUUUACGUGGAUGGUUGUGUUUACAUGCUGCAGGUAUGGUUUUUUGAGCAUUUUGUUCCACCCGAAGGUCCAAUUGAUAAAUUUCCACGAAUAUUGCAUUGGAUGAAUAGAAGUGUUGGAGACAAGUUUGUAAAACGGUGUAUGGAGACAGGUUUGGAUAAGAAGGAAUACAGACCAACACCAACAAGAAAGGAUGCCCAACCAAGACCAAAUAAGAUACAAAAAAAGAAAUCGAAGAGAAACUUUUAUGCGUGCCUUAGAGGACCAAGAAUUUCUAAUUGAACAACUUAAAAGGAGGGUUGCAGGUUUGGAGGCACAAUUGGCUGAAGAGAAGGCAAGACGACAAAAUAAAGAUCACGGUGGAGAAAGUGUGCCUUGUACAGAACCAUCCAUGAACACUGGUUUUGUAUCCCCUACUGACAUUGACACAAAUCAACAACCUUUGAAGACGUAUAUUAAGGUUGGAUCACGAAGGCGUUACAAGGGAAGAGCACUUAGGACUCCAUACACCGGAACCGUAGUGCUUAGAAUAAAAAAUGAGUGAUAUGUGUAUUGAGUUGAUUAAUGGAAAGUAAAUGAUCAUUGUAAAUAGAUUAAGAAAACAAAGUGUAAUGUAUCAGAUUUAGUUGAAUAAUAU
Vigna angularis (adzuki bean) is the source of this 2100-nucleotide long non-coding RNA. RefSeq lists it as uncharacterized. The transcript has 3 exons. The record is from RefSeq and is a predicted model, not a curated record. Lineage: Eukaryota; Viridiplantae; Streptophyta; Magnoliopsida; Fabales; Fabaceae.